Molecule: ribosomal RNA, 233 nt
Filed under: Vibrio parahaemolyticus
Lineage: Bacteria; Pseudomonadati; Pseudomonadota; Gammaproteobacteria; Vibrionales; Vibrionaceae
Description: partial 16S ribosomal RNA
Rfam family: Bacterial small subunit ribosomal RNA
Source: RNAcentral
AAAUUGAAGAGUUUGAUCAUGGCUCAGAUUGAACGCUGGCGGCAGGCCUAACACAUGCAAGUCGAGCGGAAACGAGUUAUCUGAACCUUCGGGGAACGAUAACGGCGUCGAGCGGCGGACGGGUGAGUAAUGCCUAGGAAAUUGCCCUGAUGUGGGGGAUAACCAUUGGAAACGAUGGCUAAUACCGCAUGAUGCCUACGGGCCAAAGAGGGGGACCUUCGGGCCUCUCGCGU